This 482-nucleotide ribosomal RNA is filed under the name uncultured bacterium. RNAcentral describes it as "bacterial SSU rRNA". It matches the Rfam family "Bacterial small subunit ribosomal RNA", at positions 30 to 507 of the family's 1533-position model. The record is from RNAcentral.
AUUGAACGCUGGCGGCAUGCCUUACACAUGCAAGUCGAACGGCAGCACGGGAGCAAUCCUGGUGGCGAGUGGCGAACGGGUGAGUAAUAUAUCGGAACGUGCCCAGUCGUGGGGGAUAACGUAGCGAAAGCUACGCUAAUACCGCAUACGAUCUACGGAUGAAAGCGGGGGAUCGCAAGACCUCGCGCGAUUGGAGCGGCCGAUAUCAGAUUAGCUAGUUGGUGGGGUAAAAGCUCACCAAGGCGACGAUCUGUAGCUGGUCUGAGAGGACGACCAGCCACACUGGAACUGAGACACGGUCCAGACUCCUACGGGAGGCAGCAGUGGGGAAUUUUGGACAAUGGGCGCAAGCCUGAUCCAGCAAUGCCGCGUGCAGGAUGAAGGCCUUCGGUUGUAACUAGCUUUGUACGGUACGAAACGGUGAGCUCUAAUAAGACUUGCUAAUGACGGUACCGUAAGAAUAAGCACCGGCUAACUACGUG